Molecule: RNA transcript, 3901 nt
Organism: Rhincodon typus (whale shark)
Lineage: Eukaryota; Metazoa; Chordata; Chondrichthyes; Orectolobiformes; Rhincodontidae
Gene: wdr91
Gene name: WD repeat domain 91
Exons: 19
Source: RefSeq, a predicted model, not a curated record
AGAGAGAGAAAAAUGGAGAAAACUAAACCUGGUCACAGAGAGAGAAAAAUGGAGAAAACUAAACCUGGUCACAGAGAGUGAGAGGGGAAAAAACUGACGGCUUUCACAGUGACAGAGAAGAGGGGGUUGGGGUAAAGAGUGCGGAGGCACCAGGCAAUGUGUUCCGGGUGACGGGGAGGGGCUUGGUAGCCUGCGGCUGUAGGAACUGAGUUGAGAGAUGGAGUGACUGUCAAACAGAGAGACAGCGAAAACAAAUCCUGACAGAGAAUGAGAAUCGAUCUGCUGAGUAAUGGCUUCAGCCGUUGAACGAAUGGAUGAACUUGUUCGUGAGUACCUGCUCUACCGAGAAUUCACCAGUACACUUAGAACUUUUGACGUCGAGAUCAAGGCAGACAAGGAUAAGGGAUUUCGAGUUGAUAAAAUUGUAGAACAACUGCAACAUUUGGUUCAAGGUUAUGACCUCAGUGGACUGCGUGAAUACUGGGGGUACCUGGAUCAUCGCCUGUUCAGCAGACUGGAGGAUGCAUAUCGACACACAGUCAACAAGCUGAAAACCAGCUUGUACCGUUACUAUCUGGUCCAUACCAUCCAGUCUAAUAGGAUUGAUAAAACCCAGGAGUUCUUCCAGAAACAGGCCCUGGAACUGCAGAACCAGCCAGAAUGGAAAGAAUGGUUUGUUCUUCCUUUCGUUCCGAAUCCAGAUCAGAACCUAGUGUUCGCCACCUAUUUCUCCAAGCAAUGGGCAGAGACUUUCUUGGUGUCACUGCACAACUUUUUAAGCGUACUCUUUCAGUGUAUGCCUGUUCCUAUGUUGCUGAACUUUGAUGCAGAGGUCCAGAGAUGCUACCAACUACAGGAAGAAAAUGAAGUCUUAAGGCAGAAGUUGUUUGCUCUGCAAGCAGAGCCAAGAAUGAAGAAAGAAGAAGAGAUGAUUCACCACAAAUUGCCUCCAUACAUUCAGAACAUGGACCGACUGGGAGAUUCAGAAUUAGAAUUGAUGUCCAGUCAGAGGGCCUCAUCAGUGAUGUCAUCUCAGCCCAAAGCUGGCUCAUUUCUGUCAUUGCUACUCUCACAAAGCAAGAAACCCUCAGGAAAAGGCCAGGUGCACCCAGGGCCUUUGCAGUCCUGUCAGAGUCCUGUGUCAUCUGGAAAGAGAGAUGGUGCCAACAAUCAGACCACCAAGAGUAAAGAGAGUUUGGCCUCCAAAGAGGGAAAAGUACUGGUGAACACAGCUGCUGACACCAACACACUGCAGCAGCGACAGAGGAAGAUACAGGACCAUGAGAGAGACCCAAACUUGGUGCAGCAGCGACAGAAGAAGGUGCUGGACCAUGAAAAAGAACGAAAGGAUCUGUUAUCCAAACAUAAUACACAGGGUAUGGAGAAAAACUCUGAGCCUGGCUGCACUGAGAUGGAUAUUCCCAGCAGCCCUGACAUGGCUGUGGAUCAACAGGACUCUCCUACAAAACUGAGCAAGUGUAGCUUGGAGCGCAGGAGUGAACAGCCUUUCAUAGUGCUGAGUCAGGAAGAAUAUGCAGAACAUCACUCCUCCAUCAUGUAUUGUGGGGUGGAUUGCUCUGGCAGAAGAGUUGCCAGUCUGGAUAUUGAUGGAGUGGUUAAAGUGUGGACAUUUAACCCCACCAUGCAGACUAAGGCCACUAUAAUGUCCAAAUCACAGCUGCUUUCCUUGGAAUGGGCUACCAAACCAGACAGAUUGCUGUUGCUUGGCAGUGGGGUCGGAACAGUUCGACUUUAUGAUACUGAAGCUAAGAAGAGUCUGUAUGAGCUGACAAUUGAUGAAUCUUAUCCUAGAAUUUUGUCUCUAUCUUGUAGUCCAAGUGGGACAUCAUUUGUUUGCUCCUCAGCUGCUCCAAGCAUCAAACUGGGGACAGUGGUGGAAGCAGGAGAUAAAGGAGUUAACCUGGUUCCAGGUGAUCUCCUCCUAUGGGACACGAAAACAAUGAAGCAGCAGCACCAGUUUUCUCUGGACCCUGAGCCUAUUGCCAUUAACUGUACAGCUUUCAACCAUAAUGGAAAUCUGCUGGUGACCGGAGCUGCUGAUGGCAUCAUCCGGCUCUUUGACAUGCAGCGGUAUGACUGUGCCAUGAGCUGGCAUGCACAUUCUGGGGAAGUUUAUUCAGUGGAGUUCAGCUAUGAUGAAAAUUCAGUUUACAGCAUUGGUGAAGAUGGAAAGUUUAUUCAAUGGAACAUCCAUAAGAGCGGAGUCAAGGUUUCCGAAUGCAGGAUGCAGUCAGAUGCUAUCGGCCCAUUUGUACUGUCUGGGUACAGCGGGUACAAGCAAGUUCAGGUGCCCCGUGGAAGACUAUUUGCAUUUGAUUCAGAAGGACACUAUGUACUCACUUGUUCCUCUAGUGGUGGAGUUAUUCACAAGCUGACAAAUGCAGAGCAAAUCUUGGAACCUUGCCUAUCACUUGGAGGUCAUCGAGCACCUGUGGUCACUGUUGAUUGGUGCACUGCAAUGGAUUGUGGGACAUGCCUGACAGCAUCCAUGGAUGGGAGGAUUAAGCUGACAACUCUACUAGCCCAAAAAGCAUGAAUGAGAAACCAUCAGGACUGAAGCUACACUUUGGCUGACUGAGAGACAUUGCCCCAUUAGCAAGGAACCUUAGUUCGAGUCACGGCAGUGAAUGUUUCUUUCUGGAGGGUGGUACACUGUUGCCUCACAGCACCAGGGACCUGCGUUUGAUUCCAGCUUUGGGUGACUGUGUCUAUGUGAAAUUUGCACGUUUUCCUGUGUCUACAUGGGUUUCUUCUGGGUGCUCCAGUUUCCUCCCACAGUCCAAAGAUGUGCAGGCUAGGUGUGUAUUGGCCAUGCCCUGAAGUGUCCAGGGAUACGCAGACCUCUCUGGGUUUUCCGAGUUGAGUGAAUCAUUCGGUGAUUCCAACUCAACAAUUUGGCACUGUGAGCAGGGUACGGGAAGCAGGAUCACCGACAAGUGAGGACUCAGCUUACAGAAUUGAAGAUACUGAAGACUUUCACUGAUGGCUACAAACUUCUGAACCUGUCUACAAGCUUUCAAUGUCACAAUGGAUGAGGCACCCUCAACCCAUCAAGCCAUUCGUUAACAAUGUAUCUGAACAUUGGUGAACUACUGUGAAAAUAUUAAAUGUAUUGAGUGUCAGGAAUUUCUAAACCACUAAGCUUGGUUGUACUUAAGCAAAUUGUGAUAAAAAAAAUUAUAUUAAGACCCACAUGGCCUGACAUUCUAAAACAUUUAAAGGGACUAGUUACCUGAAAUUUAAAAUGACCUUGGAAAAUGAUAAAGUGCAUGCACACCAUCUCAGUGAUUUCGAGACAUAAUAAAAAAUGUUAGUGACUUUGAGGGAGUAAACAGAAUAUUGAAUUUGGACAAAUUUACAUAUAGAAAUAUCAAAUAUCUAAAACGAGGUAUCAAGUAACUUUCAAACAAAAAGGUGGUCAUCUUAGACAAUCAUUUGGUCAUUCCACCCCAACAGCAGCCUACUCAUUUUCAGCCACAGAACACAUCAUCCAUGAUCUUACUGAAUGGCAGAACAGGCUCAAGUGCCUACAUUUGCUCAUAUUCUGUAUUGUCAAAUCUUUGGAAAUACUCUGUAAAACACUAUAAAUACAUUCCCAGAUUUAUCACUGAUCUCACUUAUGCUGUAAAUACCAUCCUUGAUGAAUUACUAACCUAACUCAUAAAUUCCCACUCUGAUAUAUUUACCGAUAACUGAUGACACCACUGUAGUGGGUCAGAUCUCAAACAACAACGAGACAAAGUACAGGAAAGAGAUAGAGAGCUUAGUGGCACACAAAACAAUACUUUUCAAUGUAACUCGGUCCAUGUGACAAUAAUGAAUUAAAUCAAAUACCACAGAUCUCACAUAUACUGUAAUUACUAUCCCUAAUAUAUCACAG